Molecule: ribosomal RNA, 744 nt
Filed under: Triticum aestivum (bread wheat)
Lineage: Eukaryota; Viridiplantae; Streptophyta; Magnoliopsida; Poales; Poaceae
Description: partial small subunit ribosomal RNA
Source: RNAcentral
AUGCCGCUCGAUUCGUCCGCCACUAUCGAUGCCACGCGAACCCAAAAUCUCCUGGCAGUUCACUGGCAUAAAGACAUCGGUGCACUCUGCGAACCCCCUCGCGUGGAGGCACGAGCGGGUCUGCAGCCCACUUCACCGUGGUUCCCUCGGGCCGCGGGCCGCGGCGACGAGGUCGUGGCGGCGUGGUUCGAGUACCAGGCGCGGCCCCGGGCUCGCAGGCAAGAGCGUCAGGCUCCUCCUGUCGAAGGGGCUCGCAGGCAAGAGCGUCAGGCCCCUCCUAUCGAAGGUGCUCGUCGUCCCAGAGGCGUCCGGUGCGGACUCGCCGGAGAAUCAGAAGUGUGCAAGGAGACCGACGUGGAGGACCUACUGUACCGCAUUCCCAUCUUUGAUCCCGUCCUCCCGGAGCUCUCCUCGCUGUUGUCUCUGGAGGAAGCGACGACGUCCGUCGCGUCGUGCCGCGAUGAGGACGACGACAUCAUGGAGAACCCAACACCAAGCCAAGUGCAACGCCGUCUCUGGCGCCCGUUCAGCCUUGGAAGCUUUGGUCCGACAGAUGAUGAGCUCAUGGAGUUCGCCGCCGACAUAGCCCAAGGUUUCCGGCGAUACAUGCUCGAGAUCGAUUUCGACCUUAGGCAACACCGGACUACAACACGGCAAGCAGCCGUGCAAGUGCCGACGUUCAGUUCCUCCGAGGAGCCUCACGCUCAAUCUAAUAGGUGGCCAUUAAGAGACCUGCCUGCGUGA